This 276-nucleotide ribosomal RNA is filed under the name Triticum aestivum (bread wheat). RNAcentral describes it as "partial small subunit ribosomal RNA". The record is from RNAcentral. Lineage: Eukaryota; Viridiplantae; Streptophyta; Magnoliopsida; Poales; Poaceae.
AUGGCCCGGGUUGCGUCCAGCUGUGCCGCCCUUGUGGCGCAAAGGAGGGGAUUUUCCGCCGCGAUAACCGCAAUCGAUGUGUCGGUGAAGAAGGUCGAGGAGAAGGCGGUGAAGCUGGGUAUGGCGGCGACGGAGGACACGACGGAGGACAAGACGGCGUUCUGGGAGCCGGACCCCAAGACCGGCGACUACCGGCCGGUGACCGGCACCAAGGAGGUGGAUCCGGCCGACCUGCGCGCCGAGGUGCUCAAGCGGAGGUUGCUGCAGCAGCAGUGA